GACGAACGCUGGCGGCGUGCUUAACACAUGCAAGUCGAACGGAAAGGCCCUGCUUUUGUGGGGUGCUCGAGUGGCGAACGGGUGAGUAACACGUGAGUAACCUGCCCUUGACUUUGGGAUAACUUCAGGAAACUGGGGCUAAUACCGGGUAGGAGCUCCUGCUGCAUGGUGGGGGUUGGAAAGUUUCGGCGGUUGGGGAUGGACUCGCGGCUUAUCAGCUUGUUGGUGGGGUAGUGGCUUACCAAGGCUUUGACGGGUAGCCGGCCUGAGCGGGUGACCGGCCACAUUGGGACUGAGAUACGGCCCAGACUCCUACGGGAGGCAGCAGUGGGGAAUAUUGCACAAUGGGCGGAAGCCUGAUGCAGCAACGCCGCGUGCGGGAUGACGGCCUUCGGGUUGUAAACCGCUUUCGCCUGUGACGAAGCGUGAGUGACGGUAAUGGGUAAAGAAGCACCGGCUAACUACGUG
Molecule: ribosomal RNA, 468 nt
Filed under: uncultured bacterium
Lineage: Bacteria
Description: partial 16S ribosomal RNA
Rfam family: Bacterial small subunit ribosomal RNA
Source: RNAcentral